Brassica oleracea var. oleracea is the source of this 2450-nucleotide long non-coding RNA. RefSeq lists it as uncharacterized. NCBI's taxonomy places the organism in Eukaryota, Viridiplantae, Streptophyta, Magnoliopsida, Brassicales, Brassicaceae. The transcript is spliced from 5 exons. The record is from RefSeq and is a predicted model, not a curated record.
AAGGAUGAACGGAGAGUCUCGCUUCCGACAUCAGUUUGCAUAGCAGGAGAGGAGGAAACAGAUCACGAUGAAGAAGAUCAAUGAGUGGUGGUGUCAAUCCAUCGUUGGUACAUAGCAGAGGAGAGGGAAGGGUUUGAUUCCCUGAAGCUCUGUGUUUUGUUUCUGAUCUGUCGAUCAAUGAUGGUGAAGAGUACAUCAGCCGAUCGGAAAGUGUUAGUAUGCAGACGAGAGAGUCGCUCGUUCCAGAUCCAAUAGAGACUUGCCUGCCAUGAAAGAAGGGUUAGGAGACGAUUUGCUUUUUGUGGAGCCAGCGCUUGCAUCUGAUUGAUUGUCUCAUCCCAAGUCCGUCGAGGAGUUAUCCUGCAUCUAGUUGCUAUCAUAGUCCAGAGAUCAAAACUAUAGGAGCAAUCAUAAUAGAGAUUGUCUCUUGAUUCUAGCCGGGAGUUACAGAGGAGACAAUUCGGGUCAACUUGGAAUCCCCAACGAAGCAUUCUGUCUUUGGUGGGACAUCUGUUCAAGAUCAUCAGCCAUGAGUGAAAAGAGUGUCUUGGGAUGGACCGGGUGAACCAGACAACAGGAGCCCAGGCUUGGUCCGGAAAGUCUCCUCUCAAUGUACAGGUCCAACAUCGCUUCUGAUCUUGCCGGCGGAAGGUUCCAAUUUCCAUUUAUGCUCAGGGAUGCAAUAGUAGCGUUCAGUGGGAUUCCUAGGCGUGACCCGGAGGAAGCCUGCAGUGAAGAGAUACAACCAUUUGGAGCCCAGUUGUCCAGCCAAAAACGAGCUGACUGUCCAUUACCGAGCCUCAUUUUUAUUAAGGGAAACACUUCUGACCUCAGCUUGAUUAGUUUAUUUACUAACCAAUAGUAUUUCUGACUAGGCUUUACUGUCCAGUAGUUAUGCAGGGAACCAUUGAGAAUCACUUCUUUAAACCAAGCUGCCCAAACCGAGUCUUCUCUGAAAAAAAGAUCCAAAUGAGGCGCACUGAGCAAGCUCUGUUCCAGAUUAGAAGGCUUUAGGGAGGAUAAAUGCUCAGCACCAGAACGUUGUGAUCCCGGCAAUGAUUGUUUUGAUCAGAAGCAGACGUCCUGCAAAUGAUAGAGUCUUGACAGCCCAAGAGGAUAGGUGAUUUUUCACCUGAUGAAGCAGUGGUUCACAGUUUGCCAAUGAGAGCUUCUUGGAAUUCAGUGGUACUCCUAGAUACUUGAAAGAAAGCGUACCAUUGACCAUUCCAGUCGAAGCUUGGAUAGUGUUUAUUUCUUGUUCUGACAACCCCGAGGCAUAGAAACUUGUCUUUUGGAGACUGACAGCGAGACCAGACCUUCAAACUCCUUGAGAGCCUGAAGCACAUUUUGGACUGACCUCAAAGAUCCAUCGAUGAAAAUUAGUAGAUCAUCUGCGAAAGAAAGAUGGGUUGUGCAGAUGCAGGCUUUGAUCCAGGAGAUGAACUUUGAUGGGAGUUGAAGUCCCUGAAGACAAGAGAGGAUGAAAUCCCAAGAGAGAGUAUCAAAAGCCUUGGCGAUGUCGACUUUUAUGGAGAUUGGAUGGUAAUCAGUGAUCUUGGUUCUGGACAAAAGGGUUAGGGUUGGAGGAGUGAGAUGGUGAAAAAGUUGGGGAUGAACUGGAUCGUUUUAGGGAUGGUCUUGGAGGAAGGUCAUGCGAGGGUGGGGAGCUAGAUGAAGAAAUAUCAGGAGGAUGGUCUAUUAACAUUUGGUCGAGGCCAGGAACUGGUGGCACUAAAGGUCCUAAAGGAAUUGGAUUAGGCAUCAAGGAAUCAGGGUCACUUAAAGCUUGAAAAGGGUUUGAGGUUGAGUUAACUGACUUCUUUUUUACAUAAACUUGCUGCGGGUUUUUGGAAGGGGUUGUUUCGUUUUGUUUCCCUUCUACUUCAUCAACUACUCGUGUUCACCCAACAACGACCCUCUUUUUCAUCUUUUCAUGCUGUUCACGAGAAAGAAUGAUAGUUGAUACAUCUCUUCUUCUUUCAUUUACAUCAUUACAAUUCUUAAAUUAGUUGAUGAAGUAGAAGGGAAGUUAGGUUGGUGGGCAACGCCAAAUUAGUCUCUCUUUGUGUGUUUAUAAUAUAUGAUGAUAAUUUAAGAAUUGCAAUGAUGUAAAUGAAAGAAGAAGGGAUGUAUCAACUAUCAUUCUUUCUCGUGAACAGCAUGAAAAGAUGAAAAAGAGGGUCGUUGUUGGGUGAGUUGUGUUUACGUGUCGGCCUCAAAGCUAAUACAACCAAGAUCUUGACCUUUUUUUGUGAGCUUCCAAAGUUUAGAAGCUAAACAAAGAGUUGCUUGAAAAGUUGAAAAAGACUUGGAACUACUCCGUAGGAAAUACUUUUGUUUGACGAGAGAAGCUUUGCAUGGACUUUCUAUUAAAAGACUAGCAUUGGCUUCUUAAGGGAUUCUAAUUAAUGUGAUUUCUUUGAUUAAAGAAAACAGAUAAUUUGCUUUUU